GACAACAUGGCCGAGCGGUCUAAGGCGCACGAUUCAGGUUCGUGUCUUUAUUGGCGUGGGUUCGAAUCCCACUGUUGUCA
Non-coding RNA from Tribonema minus, 80 nucleotides. The record is from the annotation of a GenBank genome assembly. NCBI's taxonomy places the organism in Eukaryota, Xanthophyceae, Tribonematales, Tribonemataceae.